GUAGUUGCGUCCUAUGGUAGAUUAAUUUUAGCUUUUUGAGAAUUCUCCACGCUUGUUUCCAGAGGGGCUGGAUCAUUUUGCAAUCCCGCCAGCGGUAAGGUGUGUAAUGGAUAAUGAUUUUUCUGCUGCCCAAAAGCAUUUGCCCUAAAGGAGACACAACCUAAAGCAAAUGCCAAAUAAGAGAGAGACCGACGUUCUAACAUCGAGGUGAGGUUAUGCCUGUGUAUUUUCAGAAAAUGAAUGAAGUCCCAGAUAGCUGCUGAUCUGACGCAUCUGCCCAGGGCAUCCAGAGACCACCAAAUUAAUGAAACAUCUAAAGGCAGAUGACAAACCAACCUAUCAAUAGGAGGUAUCCCAGGAGGAAGAGUAAGCUGGUAACUUGGGGAGACACCAAGACUUUAACUCACAAAUCUGAGACUUUGAGGAAACAGCAAAGACAUUAUUAUACAACUGACUCCCCAAAUGAUGCUGUUCUAUUUAAUGACUGCAUUACAUUAGUUAUCAGCUUGUCUAUGCAGAAUCCAAAUGUUUUUUGUCAGGGGGUGAUAAAGACACACCUGUGACAGGAGACACAUGAUUGUUUUGCCGUGCUAAGGACUGUUUGUAAAGGGUCAUGUGGAACAGGCCAUAUUACACCCAUUUUGCUCAAUAAAUCUUUGCAA
Peromyscus eremicus (cactus mouse) is the source of this 662-nucleotide long non-coding RNA. RefSeq lists it as uncharacterized. NCBI's taxonomy places the organism in Eukaryota, Metazoa, Chordata, Mammalia, Rodentia, Cricetidae. The transcript is spliced from 2 exons. The record is from RefSeq and is a predicted model, not a curated record.